Molecule: non-coding RNA, 587 nt
Organism: Salvelinus sp. IW2-2015
Lineage: Eukaryota; Metazoa; Chordata; Actinopteri; Salmoniformes; Salmonidae
Source: RefSeq, a predicted model, not a curated record
UAUAAUUCUGAAACACAAUCCAGUUUAUAAAUGUAAAAUAACGUUGCAUUCAUACAUUGCUACAUUGUUUUUCAUAAACGCUAUUUUAUACAUAUUAUUGGCCUGCAGUUAAACUUAUUUAUAGUAAUAGACGCUAACUGAACUUCACAAGCAUGUUGACAUUUAUUGUCACCGGUCUUGUCCUGGAGGCAGAACUGGGCGAUUUCCCCUUAAAUAGGCCAGGUGGCUAUAUUGUACAAAUUAUUUGGCCUUCAUUUAAGGUUAGGUUUAAAAUCAGAUGGUAUGGCUUUGUGGCUUUGCCAGCUAGUGACCACUCUACAGAGCCACCUCCAGAACAAGAUGCAUGACGAAAAACGCUAACCUGCGUUUCACAAUUCUUGACUCGGUUUAAAUUCACAGUGGAAGAGAUGCAGGGGUCCUUUGUGACCAUGGCCAAGGACACUGGCACUGCAGAGUGCCAGAAAAGACAGAACCGAAGAAGUGCAAUGUGGCAGAAAAUGGCGGAGCACCUGGGUCCACCUACCCACCAUCACCUAAAACCCACUCCUCUCCCUACACCUGGAAAGAGAUUCUCGCUCUCUCACCCA